This 406-nucleotide ribosomal RNA is filed under the name uncultured bacterium. RNAcentral describes it as "partial 16S ribosomal RNA". It matches the Rfam family "Bacterial small subunit ribosomal RNA", at positions 29 to 526 of the family's 1533-position model. The record is from RNAcentral.
AUUGAACGCUGGCGGCAGGCCUAACACAUGCAAGUCGAGCGCGCGGCGGACGGGUGAGUGAUGUCUGUGAAACAGCCCGAUGGAGGGGGAUAUCUAUAGGAAACGGAAGCUAAUAUCGCGCAUCACCUGAUGUGACCAGAUGGGAUUAGCUAGUAGGUGGGGGAACGGCUCACCUAGGCGACGAUCCCUAGCUGGUCUGAGAGGAUGACCAGCCACACUGGAACUGUGACACGGUCCAGACUCCUACGGGAGGCAGCAGGGGGGAAUAUUGCACAAUGGGCGCAAGCCUGAUGCAGCCAUGCCGCGUGUGUGAAGAAGGCCUUCGGGUUGUAAAGCACUUUCAGCGGGGAGGCGUUACCCGCAGAAGAAGCACCGGCUAACUCCGUGCCAGCAGCCGCGGUAAUAC